Molecule: unclassified non-coding RNA, 272 nt
Filed under: fungal sp.
Lineage: Eukaryota; Fungi
Description: partial internal transcribed spacer region
Rfam family: Eukaryotic small subunit ribosomal RNA (bases 1-46)
Source: RNAcentral
AAGUCGUAACAAGGUUUCCGUAGGUGAACCUGCGGAAGGAUCAUUACCAAUCCAAAAAUUACAAACCACUGUGAUCCUGUAAACGUCUUUGGGUGGCAAGGAAUAUAUUGAAAGAUAUACUCCCUUUCCACCCAACAUUAUUAACCCCUUAAACAAUUAUGUUGAAUUUAAACACCCUCUUAGAUUUUCUUUUAUUUAUCAAAGAAACGCUUAAGAUGGGAAAAAAAAAAAAAACAUAAAUACAACUUUUAACGGUGGAUCUCUUGGCUCAU